Non-coding RNA from Biomphalaria pfeifferi, 256 nucleotides. The record is from the annotation of a GenBank genome assembly. NCBI's taxonomy places the organism in Eukaryota, Metazoa, Mollusca, Gastropoda, Planorbidae.
AGGCCUUAAGAAAUGUACUUCUAUAAAAUUGGAUUUUAUUUCAAUUAGACUUGUCUCUUUCCGCUCAUCAAGUUAACAAUGAUCUCUGAGAUGACUUCCAGCACUUGCUUUUCACACACAAAAAUCAGUCUCUAUAGUACUUACUAAAUAAAGGAAAGGCCUUCCUCGCCCAUGAACAGUGCAUCAAUGAUACAGCCAAGGAGAGAAUUAAAACAUAAUUGUUUGCAAUUGCCAAAAAAAAAAAAAAAAAAAAAAC